UCCUUAACCCCCUGCACUGGGAAAAUGGGCCUUGGACUGUAAACCAAGAGAGAGUCCAGAACCCAAAGUCUUAAUGAGUACAAUACUGGAGUCUUCCAUGAACAUGGCAGAAACCACAGGGACAUAGGAGAAACGGCACCAAAAGAGAGAGAACAGUGCCAGGCAGGAUGUGAUGCCAGUUACGUGAGGUCAUGCCAGGUAUGUCAGGAUGCUCUAUGUUAUUACGUUGGACAUAAAAGAACACUUCUUAUUCCAUCUGAUGUAUCACAUAUUAAAUAUAGUCCGUUAAGUGACUUUUAUCAUUUGGAAAGACCACAUUUGCAUGCCUCUAAAAUAAAUGAUGUUUUUGAAAAAACACAUGUAACCAGUCCUCCUGUCUGCAUCUGGCCUGCCUCCUUGGCUAAGGCUUCAACAUGAAACACAGCAGAUGUGAGAUCUGACUCCUGUUCAAAAGUGAGUUCAAAAGUGAGAUUAGAAAGCAGAUUUUUCUUAAAAUGCAGCUGAUUCCCCUUUGCAGAUUUUAUUAUUUAAAGGAUAGAAAAGAAGUCUUUAUUUCUUUGAAAAGUAACACCAAAGCUUCACCCAUCAAGAUGGAAUAACUUAUUACCCAGUGAGCGUGUCUUUCUCAAAGGAAUUUCAUUUUGGGGAAAAGAACCUUUAUCACUUUGAGGUGUAUUCAAGCACAUAGAUGAUUCUAGUAUUGGAUGCUAGGAAGGCUCAGACAUGCUUGCCUCCUCCUUAUAAUCUGUGUUUCGGCUCUCCAUAUUCUUAAUUUAUGGGCUUUAUCUUCGUGGUGAGAGAUUUGGCCUUCGUAAACCUGAAAAUUCCCUGACACAGACCAAACGCUGAAGGACAGAGAAGGACAUGGCAUUACUGUCUUUAAUGGGACACAGCCCCUGAAAAGGAAAAGCAUAAGGACCACAGGCGAACGGGGCCACCAGCUGUUCACGCGCAUUGAGGUUCUGGGGAAAGGUGGCUUUGGACCCUGCCGAGCAGGAUGGAUGGGGCGCUGGUGCGGGAGGCUGCGCCCUAUAAUCCCCUGAGGUGCAGCUUCCGUGAGACGUGUCUUUGCCAUUUCUGGAGUUCCGAGGAGUCACCUUAGAUGGGCAGAUGGGGCUGGCAGUGUCUACAACCACAGGUUGGGGCCAAAGGGAAAUCUGGGUGCUAACCCACAGGAAUAUUUCACAGGCUGCAAGUGCCUGAGGUCCGUCUUGCCAAGUAUGGAAAGAGAAUCUAGUGAGUUGACUAAAUAUUAAAGAAGAGGGAAAAAUGAAAGGAAAACCGUAGGAAAUAGCUGCCUAAUUGUCAGAUGAGGGGGUCUGGGUUGCAGUGAGGCGCCCACAGGAAAUGUGGACUGGACUGGAGGGGCCAAGACCCUCUGUGCGACUUAACCCACUGGGUCUGGAUUUCUUCAACUGUAAAUAAAACGAGCGCAUUAUUAAGUUCCCUUCAUUUGCAAAAUUAACUUUUGCUUUUUAAAAUUUUUUAUUAAAGCAUAGUUGAUUUACAAUGUUGUGUCCAUUUCUGCUGUACAGCAAAGUGACCCCGUCAUACAUACAUAUGUGUAUUUAUCUAUAUAUUAUAUACAUAUAUAUAUAUACACACACAUUCCUUCUUUUUCUCAUAUUAUCUUCCAUCAUGUUCUCUCAAAAGAGAUUGGAGGUAGUUCCCUGGGCAAUACGGUAGGUACAACUUUUACUUGAAUCAUAAAAAUUAAAGAGAAGUAAUAAUUAUGUAGUUAAUUUGGGAGAAAGUCUACAUUCGUUCCUCAAAUCCUUUCACAAUGAAUAUUCCCUUUCAAACCCUUUUCAAACUAUUGUGUUUUGAAAUAUGUUUGCCAAAUAAACAAUAUUUCAGUAAUUUUCUCUAGCUAUCUUUCUCUCUUCUCCUUCCUUCUCUCCUUUCCUUCAUUUUCUAACUCAAAUACACCUAUUACCGUUAAUGAGGAGUCAGGUCAGCUUAAGUUAACUGGUAUUAUCCGAUGGAGUUGAUAUAAUUUCUGCCCAAAGCAAUUUGACAUUUCAGUUAAACUGUGCAGGCUUCUCAAAGGAAAAUGUUCACUUCCCUUUAAACCUUUUUGCAGUAUUAAAGGUAGCACCUGGCCACCCAUCUUGUGGAUGCUAGAACUGGCGAUAUUCCUGUGCACCUGCUCCUGAGUUUGAGGGUGCGAUGUUGCCGGUGGGUCUGUGCUGUACUGACCAGGUCCAAUUGGGUGCAGCCCUGCUACUCCCCCAGCCCCAGGCCCCUGUCUACACAGCUCAUCACCACUAUCUGCCCUACCUCAGUGUCCCUUGGGCUGCAGGCUUACUUGUGGCUUCUCUGCCUUGGUUUAUUCUGGGAAGUCUCUGAUCACCUGGUCCAGACAGAGAAGUACCUUGGACAGCAACCGUUCCUGCAGGUGGCCUGUGUCAGUCCCAGGUUCUGAAGUGGCGGCUCUGAAUGAGCCAUGCAUAACAUCUAUGAGCACACUUGAGAAACUGGCUGUGGUAGUUGAGUCAAUGUCACGCUUUACAAUGACUGAUGGUAGGUAGCUUCGGUGUAAGACCUGUGGAAUAGUCAGAGGGCCCUAGUUUUCUAGCCAACUAAAUGCAGAGGGUCACCUCAAGACCUUAGGCUUGCUGAUCAUUAACGAAGAAUUUAUCCGUCAGUGCAAUGACCUUCGGAGAAACAGUGACAAGGAAAGCCUAUCAAGAAACAGAGGACAGGCUUGUACGAUGAAGAAUCAGACAAGGUAGACUGCAAUCUGAUCUCCAGGGGAAAAGCAGAGUUUACACUUGCAAAAAAUUGACUCACUAUCUCAACUGAAUUGCUAGUUCAAAGGCUCUAAAAUACAGAUAAGCCUGGUUUAGAAAUAAUUGGGUAAAUGUACAAAUAAUUGAUGACUAUCCAAUAGGGUGGUCUGGAAUUUACCCAAAGACAUGUGCUAGUGUGUCCGCAGUCAUGUAUUUUCAUUCUCAGUUUAGCCUCUUCUCCAGGGUGCAUCUUGAUCUCAAAUGUCUGACAUUAUCUGUGGAGACCCAUCUGUCUAAUCCAAGAAGCUUCAAAGCAUCUGUCAAAUCAUUAGACAAUUUCUUCAACAGUCUGUGUUCAUGUAAGGGUAACUCAAUGGAUUUAUUCUGCGGUCAUGACAUCUGAUUGUUUCUCUAAGGAUCUGAUGAAAAAUCCUGAAAAAUGAAGUCUGGGAAUAGCAACAAUCUCCAAAGGCAACGGGAUGUUUGAAACAAACAGUCUCAGUGAUGGACUAGGCAAACCCAAAGGACAAAAGACGUGACUCCAGGCUGAAUGGAAGGUGGAGUCCCAGCUGGGGGAGGCAUCAGAAGAUGAAAGCAUCUCAUGGUCAAAAUCCACUGGGAGCCGUGUUCGUGUGCUCAGCAGAUCCCCCGGGGGGCUCCUGCCUCUCUCUCACCUUGGGGGCAGCACUGUCCCCACAAGCCUGGGAGGAUGGACAGAUUGCUCUGGAUCAGCGCCGAGCCUGCCCGGGGCCUGAGCAGUGGGACCCACCACAGAGGGAAAAACGCUCUGUGCUGUUGAGUGAGCAGGUGGAUUUGCCUAAUUGCAACAGGAUGUUCACCAUCCCAAGUUAGCAAGAACUAUCUCCCAGAUAAGUAAGAACCAUCUUCCAGAUAGUUCCCUUGUCUCACCUUCUCUAUAUACUGAAUUUGGCAUCUUUAAAACAGUAGGUUAGCAAUCUCCUUGUGUGACCUUGAACGACCCCCAAGGCCCUCACAAGCUCAACUUGGAGGCAAGAAGUGAGUACCUGCCUCCAAAAACGCUCACAGGUUCAAGGAAAUUUCUCCAAGCUCCCAGGGCCCAUGUUUAUCAAUCUGUGCCCCCCACCCUCACCCCUUCAGGAAAGGUGGUCUUAAUUCUGUGAGGCACCCUCACAGCUUGGCCCAUUUAGUUCUCACACCAGCCCUGAGAGACGAGAUGUUGCAUCAUUGAUGCUUUGUACAGAGGAAGAGGCAGAGGUCACAGCGAAGGGAGGCAGAUGGAGGUCCUGUGGCCUUGGACAACGAAGCCCACCUUCCCAAGGUCACACAACUUGUGAGGAAGAGUGGGGAGUUGAAAUCCAUCCUGAUUCGGAGGCUUUCCUGCCUCCUCCUGCAAAGUGUUUUGUUUAAGACUCCAAGAUGCAUGUAGAACCUGUAACACUUCAAUGAGCACUAGCCCCUCACUGCUUUCAUCAUAAAAACAGUCGUGUUUUUUGUUUGUUUUGUUUUGUUUUUGGUCACACCUGUGGCACGAGGACAUUCUCAAGCCAGGGACAGAACCUGAGCCACAGCAGUGACAGCAUCAGAUUCUUAACUUCUAGGUCACCAGGGGACUGCCCUUAAAACAGUUUUUAGGGAGUUCCCAUUGUGGCUCAGCGGUAAUGAACCCCACUAGUAUCCGUGAGGAUGUGGGUUUGAUCCCUGGCCUCACUCAGUGGGUUGGGGAUCUGGCAUUGCCAUGAGCUGCGGUGUAGGUUGCAGACACGGCUCGUAUCCCGAGUUGCUGUGGCUGUGGUGUAUGCUGACUUCUUGAGGCUCUGAUUUGACCCCCAGCCUGGUAACCUCCAUAUGCCAAAAGUGCAGACCUAAAAAGAAAAAACAACAACAGCAACAACAAAACAAAACAUGGGUACUUGACUCGCAGAUGCGGCUUGGCUGUUGGAGAGACAGGGGCUCUGGCUCUCGGCCCCUCCUUACCCUGCUGCCUUGUUUUCCAUCUCAUCCCGUAAAAGUGGCUCCCCUCUACUCUGGCACAUAAGCCCCAGCAGCACUUGAGCCCCUCGAGGCCAGGUGCUGGGCCUCCCUCAGCCCAAGCCCUGGACAUCACAAGGCGCACAGUCAGCAUUUGCUGAGUGAAGCCAGGACUCUGGGCUGGAGCUCGGUGGAGCCGUGGCACUGCGGGGAGGACGGGUUGACACACGGUGACUAUUCUGGCUCUUCGCUGUUUUGUCCUCAAGGUCAAUGGUGCUGAUGCUCAAAUCGCUGACGCGCCUACCUUAGUGAGUGUAACCCACAAUGUCAUUCGGAACAGUAGACAAUUCUGGCAGCAAUUCUAACAAAAUGAAGCCUUGAGGAGUCUGGGCCAUCCUGCUGCAGAGGUGCCGGCAGGAGACGCCUCUCAGGCUUCCAAGCAGGCACAUUCGCAUCGCUCUGUCUCUGCUCUCAACAGGCCCUUGCCAAACUGUGUUCUAUGGAGCCCUCUGGUUUGCUCCUGACCGUGGAGGCUCUGAGAGGGGACAGGGAGGGUCCGGGGGGGCCUGCUCUCCCUCCCCCCGCCCUCGACCACUCUGGUUGAGAUGGUUUCUCAGGGUUCACAGGAAAGCAGAGUUAUAUGCUGUUUUUUGUUUGUAUGGAUGUUGGUGUUUUUCUGAAAACUACUUUAGCACCACUCAACGACUUGGCUAAUUUCAUUUUGUUAAUUAUUGUCUCUGUCUUUGUUUCUUUUUUAAACAAACUGGGUGUAAUAAGCCUCAAAUUGUGAUACCCAGAAAAAUUAUUUUGUAUCUAAAACUUUCAGACCUUCAUGCUAAAUUUUCCAAAUGACUACACCUGGGACAAGGACAUGAAUGACAGGUUAAAAACGCUGGAUGGACUCACCAUGUGAAAUAUCACAAAAAUGGAGGGAAAAAAAAGUGAGAGGCAAUAUUAGACAUAGGCCAGAGAAGCAGCAGGGCCUGUUUCUAUGAUAAAAGCCAAUUCUUACUAAGUUCCCACUGCCAGCUUUGCACGCCUUUUCCCUAGUUCUCAUUAUUCGCUGGGGAACAUGUAAGUGAAUCAGGAAUCGUAUUAAAGCUCCCAGCGUUAGGGAUGGUGACCGAGAUUCAUGAGGCCAAGGCCACAAAGCCCCAGGCUCCCCCGACAGCGUUUAGUCCUGGUCUUUCCGUCUCCGAAGUCCACGGUCUUUCCAUCACCACCCUCAUGCCAUCCCAAGCAUCGAGGAUGACAUGUGCGCAGGUGUGCUUCACAGGGUUUUGUCAAGGGACUAAACGAAAUACGAGUCUACAAAGGUACGCUCCCCGGGCAGCUCACACUCAGGUUUUAACAAAUCCAAGGCAAUGGCAUUUGAAAGCACUUGGUUAAUUGCCAUGAUAGUGAUAACGGCACGAGCAGCCCAGUUUCUGAGAGCUGACCUUACUCCAGACACGGCUCUAAGCACGGGGUUCUGCCUCAGUGACCCCGUGAGUAGACAUUAGUUUUGAACCCACUAGAAAGGUGAGGAAAAUGAGGCAUGUGCCUAAUUUCAUGCAGCUGUGGAACGGUGGUUGCAUGGCAUUGGAACAUAGGAGGGUUAGGACACAGUCAGAAUCCCACGGCUCCGAGUUUGAAGGCAGAGCU
This 6326-nucleotide long non-coding RNA is filed under the name Sus scrofa (pig). Its description in RNAcentral is "lncRNA (ENSSSCG00015009936.1)". Lineage: Eukaryota; Metazoa; Chordata; Mammalia; Artiodactyla; Suidae. The record is from RNAcentral.